GUAGUUGACUCCGUGGCUACGAGGACAACGCUGGCGGCGUGCCUAACACAUGCAAGUCGAGCGAUGAAGUUUCUUCGGAAACGGAAUAGCGGCGGACGGGUGAGUAACACGUGGGUAACCUGUCUUAUAGAGGGGGAUAGCCUUCCGAAAGGAAGAUUAAUACCGCAUAAAGUUGUUGAUUCGCAUGGAUUAAUAACCAAAGGAGCAAUCCGCUAUAAGAUGGACCCGCGGCGCAUUAGCUAGUUGGUGAGGUAGAGGCUCACCAAGGCGACGAUGCGUAGCCGACCUGAGAGGGUGAUCGGCCACAUUGGGACUGAGACACGGCCCAGACUCCUACGGGAGGCAGCAGUGGGGAAUAUUGCACAAUGGGGGAAACCCUGAUGCAGCAACGCCGCGUGAGUGAUGAAGGCCUUCGGGUUGUAAAGCUCUGUCUUUAGGGACGAUAAUGACGGUACCUAAGGAGGAAGCCACGGCUAACUACGUG
RNAcentral lists this ribosomal RNA (484 nucleotides) under uncultured Clostridiaceae bacterium. Its description in RNAcentral is "bacterial SSU rRNA". It matches the Rfam family "Bacterial small subunit ribosomal RNA", at positions 9 to 507 of the family's 1533-position model. The record is from RNAcentral. Lineage: Bacteria; Bacillati; Bacillota; Clostridia; Eubacteriales; Clostridiaceae.